This 102-nucleotide non-coding RNA is filed under the name Salimicrobium flavidum. Its description in RNAcentral is "Guanine sequence". It matches the Rfam family "Purine riboswitch aptamer". From Rfam's summary of the family: Riboswitches are metabolite binding domains within certain messenger RNAs that serve as precision sensors for their corresponding targets. Allosteric rearrangement of mRNA structure is mediated by ligand binding, and this results in modulation of gene expression. The record is from RNAcentral. Lineage: Bacteria; Bacillati; Bacillota; Bacilli; Caryophanales; Bacillaceae.
UAAUUUAAUAAUGAAAUAUAACGUAUAAUCUUGGGGAUAAGGCCCAUAAGUUUCUACCGGACGACCGUGAAUUGUCCGACUACGUUCUGAAAACAGGGCAUC